AGUGAACGCUGGCGGUAGGCCUAACACAUGCAAGUCGAACGGCAGCACAGUAAGAGCUUGCUCUUACGGGUGGCGAGUGGCGGACGGGGGAGGAAUACAUCGGAAUCUACUUUUUCGUGGGGGAUAACGUAGGGAAACUUACGCUAAUACCGCAUACGACCUACGGGUGAAAGCAGGGGAUCUUCGGACCUUGCGCGAUUGAAUGAGCCGAUGUCGGAUUAGCUAGUUGGCGGGGUAAAGGGCCACCAAGGCGACGAUCCGUAGCUGGUCUGAGAGGCUGAUCCGCCACACUGGAACUGAGACACGGUCCAGACUCCUACGGGAGGCAGCAGUGGGGAAUAUUGGACAAAGGGGGAAAGCCUGAUCCAGCCAUACCGCGUGGGUGAAGAAGGCCUUCGGGUUGUAAAGCCCUUUUGUUGGGAAAGAAAAGCAGCAGGUUAAUACCCCGCUGUUCUGACGGUACCCAAAGAAUAAGCACCGGCUAACUUCGUG
RNAcentral lists this ribosomal RNA (492 nucleotides) under uncultured bacterium. RNAcentral describes it as "partial 16S ribosomal RNA". It matches the Rfam family "Bacterial small subunit ribosomal RNA", at positions 29 to 507 of the family's 1533-position model. The record is from RNAcentral.